UACGUAGGGUGCAAGCGUUAAUCGGAAUUACUGGGCGUAAAGCGUGCGCCGGCGGCUUUGCAAGACAGAUGUGAAAUCCCCGGGCUUAACCUGGGAACUGCGUCUGAUACUGGAUGGCUUGAGUUUGGGAGAGGGAUGCGGAAUUCCAGGUGUAGCGGUGAAAUGCGUAGAUAUCUGGAGGAACACCGGUGGCGAAGGCGGCAUCCUGGACCAACACUGACACUGAGGAGCGAAAGCCAGGGGAGCAAACGGG
This 253-nucleotide ribosomal RNA is filed under the name uncultured bacterium. RNAcentral's name for it is "partial 16S ribosomal RNA". It matches the Rfam family "Bacterial small subunit ribosomal RNA", at positions 524 to 776 of the family's 1533-position model. The record is from RNAcentral.